Molecule: non-coding RNA, 61 nt
Filed under: Blattella germanica (German cockroach)
Lineage: Eukaryota; Metazoa; Arthropoda; Insecta; Blattodea; Blattellidae
Source: RNAcentral
CAUAUAAAUUGUCCGCGACACUCAUUGAAUUACUACGGGUAUCGCGGCAAAUUAUUUGGAA